This is a long non-coding RNA of Papaver somniferum (opium poppy), 4862 nucleotides long. RefSeq lists it as uncharacterized. The transcript is spliced from 9 exons. NCBI's taxonomy places the organism in Eukaryota, Viridiplantae, Streptophyta, Magnoliopsida, Ranunculales, Papaveraceae. The record is from RefSeq and is a predicted model, not a curated record.
UUCUUACUUUGCUCUCAGUUCUCUACAAACAGUAAACCCAGAAGUAAGAAGUUGAAUUCAGUCUUUCUCUGUUACUUUGCUCUCAGUUCUCAGUUUCGAUUGUUUCAUCUUAUUAACCGCAUGGGUUGAUGUUGAAUCAAAAAGAGGGGUUCAUGGUUCUUUGCUUCAAAGAAGUUGUUAUAACCAUCAGUAUUAUUAGAGGAGCAGUUAUGGGGGCUUUCUUUUAUAACCCUUUCUUUCGCUGAUAUCAAAUCAAGUGUUUUGGUGAUAUAAUUUCAGAAAUUGGUAAUUGGGAUUCUGAAUUUUUUAGGUUAAAAUCCUCACAUUGAAAAGGUAUCAGAAGUUGCUCCUACUGGAUCUGCCUGUGAUGAAGGGUGGAUAACCUUCAGGAACAUACUAUGAGAAAUCAAUGAAGCCUGAAUGUUUUUUUACUGUAUCCAAUCAGGUGAUUGUUCCAACAGUUGGUGUUAGAUUCUUAGCGGACGACAUGGAAGAUUAUAAAUCUAGAAUGUAAACUAAUGCACCCACAAAUGAGGAGGAAAGACAAGGGGCUUUGAUGCAAUUGACGCUGCUCUAGAAAGGGACAGUGAUUGCAUCGCCUGAUUAAUUUCCUAGAGACGUUCUUGCAUUUGUCCACGGGGAAACACUCCAAGAUGACAGGGUCAUAAAAAGACGUGCACUUUGACUUUAAGAUUUAAGAGUCAUAGAACGAUCAUGAUUGAUCUGAAAGGCCCAUCCGACGGUCCCAAUCAUCUGGAUGGAGUUUUAAGCUUGGACGGUCAGCAGAAAUAGGGUUUUAUUCCGGGUCAAAAUCGAACCAGAUAUAUGUGAAUCUUUUUAGGGUUGUUGUAAUCGGAUUGAUGCAGCAAACCGGCUAGGUAUUGAAAUUUGUUGGGUUUUUUUCCUUCAUUGUUUGGAAAUUGAUUGAUUAAUGGCAACCUUAUAUUCUUCUUCAUCUUCACCGAUGGAAAAUCUUCCAAUUUCUCACUCAGUUUCAAUUGAAACUUUCCUGAAGUGAUUUGUGUCUCAAAUUUCUGAUGAUGUUCAGUUGGUUAAAUUAUAAUGUACGGAGUGUGGUGUGUUACGUGUGUAGUGGAAUCAAUGCAGAAACAUAAGCCUGUUUGCGAAGAAAUUAUGGUUACUUUUAUCAAUCAUGCUUAAAAUCUUUGUAAAUAAAUUGUGGUUUUAGUUUACAGUAAAUUCCCUUUUCUUCUAUAAUAUUUAAUAUAUACCUGAAUGUACAGAGAGUAGAUUUACUUUCUAAGCCUUUGCGACAUUACUUUGACUGUUGUUAGCUAAAUUGUUCCUUCCAUUUUCAUUAUAAAGUUGUUGUUUUUGUUCCUUUGUCUGAUUUAGAACCUUACAAGUUACAAUGUAUGUUUUUUGAGCUUUGUGGAGGAUGGCAAAUUAUAUGUAGGAAUGUAGUGGAAUAUUGAUAUGACGGGUACUGUAUGGUGCAUUGGGUAACAUUUAUUCUUCUACUCUUAUAUUUUGUUAAUCAGCGAUUCAGCAUUCAGUAAUUCUUGAUUGAAUGGUCAUUGUAUUUACUUUAAUUACUUUUAUAUUGUUGACAUUACAUCAUACACUCAUUAAUACUUCAGCGUUUCUCUAAGCUCUCUUCUAAUGGUACCAAUUCGAAACAAGGAAAAAGCUUCUCGAUUGUUCAUCUUAUCUCUCACAAGGUAAACCAACGAUUUAUGCUUUUUUGGUUGUUUUAUUUUGUAUAUCAGGAAACAAAGUUGAUAGGGAUACUAGGCCUUUUAGAUUGGAUGAGGGUGUUGAGCAAUUAGACAUUAGAGAACUUUCAGCAUUUGAGCAUCAUCAUAGCACCGAGAUCAGGUCCCUUGGUGAGUCUGUUGGAUGUGUUUAUUUAUGGAAUGCUUGCAGUAGUAAGGUAACUAAAUUAUGUGACUUGGGUGUGGGUGAUAGUGUUUCAGUUGAAUGGGCAAGCCAUGGGAUACAACUAGAUGUUCCAACUAAUAACGGAAACUUCCUUCUUCUGAAUCCUUUUCCCAUGCUUUCCGUCCAGGUAAUAUACAUUCCUUCGAUUUGUAAUCUAGAUGAUAAAUAGAUGAGCAGUACAAGCAGAAUGCGAAUUUGGCAUCGGGGACCGAAAGGUAUCCUUAAGCUGGUGGAUUUGUAUCAGAUAUGGCUAAAUCACGUGAAGAGUUUAGAGGUUAUAAAGUUAGAGAAGGUCUUCUGAGUUCUGAUCUACAAAAUGAGAUCUAUGUACAAGAAGUUGAGGUUGCACAAUUGUUUAGUGACCUUCAGAUAUUCAAAAUCUGCUUUCAGGUAUUCAAAAAUAAGGUACACAAGCCCAUUGCAACAAGUAAUAAUCUUGAAGAUAAAAGUACUUUUAAAAGAAGUAAAAAUUGAACACCUGAAAGACUUGGAAAUAAAAUAUAUUACUCUUCUUUAAGAUCAUGCACUCUCUUAACCAAAUAGCAUGGAAGGUGGUAAGCAGGUAUGUGUAUUUUUUUUAUCUUUAUUAAUAUAGUAAUGUAGUGACUUCUAAAUCUGAUAGGACACUAAUUGACUACUGACUGUGCAAUUGGUGAGCUUUCUGAAUAGAGGAUCAUCUAAGAUAUCCAUCUGUUGAUGGAGCAAAAUGAGUAGAUCUAUACUGCUUGCUGCAAAUUUAUAAUUUUUUUCUUAUAACACCUGAUUCUCUUACUACCAACAGGUCCUCUCUCCCCCUCCCCCAAAAUUUAAUUAAUAUAUAUGUUGCGUCAUUAUUGAGAUAAUUUUUUUGAUACCACAUAAAUCAUCUUUAACAGUCCUUCAUUCUGAAACUUUUGAUUAUAUGUAUCCAAUUAAUAGAAAGUUAACAUUGAUACCACAUAAUUCGAGCAUUACCGGGUACUGGAGGUCCAAGUUCCCGUUCGCGCUAAUACCUGUAAGUUUCAAGGGGGAGAAAAUGGAUAAUUAAUCCCCAUUAAUAUACAAUGUCGGUGUAAAGCAUAUCACUCUUUCAUCAUGAAUAAUGAAUCUGUGUAGGCUUUCGUCUUCAAUUAUAUUAACUUAUAGAUUGAUGUGCAUGUAAAUGAUUGUGCGUACGAUACCGGAUCGUUAAUAUAAUUGCUCAAUUUCAAAAUUUUCGGAAUUGCAUAGAAUCAUUACCAGAUGUAGCUUUCUAGGAUUUUUGUUGUUGUUGUUGUUGUUGUUUCAGUUCUCCCUUAUUUUGAUUCUUAUUGUCAAUGAAACUAUAUUAUGACUAUAGGUUCCGCGAUGACUGAACUGGGACUAGAUAAUUCACUCCUGAAUGAAAAACUCCAUUUUGGGACACUCUAAGUUAGUUUGUCAAGUGACAAGUAUGCACAACUUGGAUGAUGAUUCCUCCAUACUGAAGGAAAAACUGCCAGUAGGGAAAAUUACUGGACUGAAGUUUCUGAUAACAGUGUAACAUAUCUCCAGCAUUCCCCAUAAGAUUUAUUGCUCAUGUAUUUACCUAAUCACAUAGUUAAGUCUCUCUCUUUGUGCCCCACUCAGACUUACGCAAGAUUGUGGAUUUGGUUGAGGUGCAGAGUUUCAUAUGGUUAGCACUGUCCAAUUACAACGCUCAAACGUAAAUUAUACUAACUUUGACAUGGUUUAAAGAGGGCCGAGUUUUCUCAGUGGGGAGUAAGCCGGUGGCUAGCUGUCAUGGGGCAGGACGGGCCUAUGCCUAGCAUCAAAAAAAAGAAAAACUGUCCAAUUACAAAAUACCCUCUUUCCUGUCAAAAUUUGAGGUGUAGACUACAUCGUCUAAGCUCAUCUGGUUGAAAUUUUCUACUGAUUAUCAUAAUCAGUAGACUACUGAUUUUGACGUGGCUGAACAAAAUUAGGCGAUUGACCUGGAUGAACAAAAUUGGACGAUUGGAGAGCUCUCUGUGUACUCGGUCCUCCAAGCAUAUAAGAGGUUUGUUGUUGUGGUGGUGUUGGUGUGUAGCAUUCAUUUGGGUUAUAGGGCGAGAAUGAUGAUGAAAUGCGCCUAGGUUCAAUCCGAAAUGUCUGAGGUUGAGACACAUACACAAUUUGUGGUGAAGUAGUAUUGCACUGUGUUUCUCGUACCACACUGUGAUGUGUUUCUCGCACCACUGUUUCUGCACUUUCUUGCCAUGAUAUGUGGGUUUCUUUACUUUCGUGCAAUGAUCUGUUGCUCCUGGUGAAAUUGGAAGAAUCUGACCCCCGCCCAUCAUCAUUUGCAGUUGGACUUACAGUUAGAGUCAAUCCAAACAUUGUGUCUGCCUGCCAUUUUCGUAGUUGUUCCAAGUGCAUCGCCUCUACUUGCCGAUUCCGCUAAUGCAAAUAGUUGAGUCGAAUCGGAAACUCUUCCUCACUGGCAGUGACAUUGUAUUAAGGAUAAUCACGGUCCAUACCUUGGGAAACAAUGAGGAUCGUGGUUGGAUCACCUUGUGAAGUAAUACUUUGCAGCUCCCAACGAAUUUCAGGCAUAUUUGACGAGGAUGAUGAAGAACUUACGCCCGUCCUUGGAUAAGUCAUAAAGCUUGGCUCUUCUGGAGGUGGUUGGCUAGGAACGAUAUUUGGAUUACGGGACAUGUUUGAUAACCCUGGGAAAUCAACCCCAUAGACGUGCAUGUUUUUUGUCCCAACCACAGGCUUCGUAAUUGACGUGUACCAGUUGACAUACUGCGCUUUACUAAUAUCCAACUGUGUAUUUAGUUUAUACCUCUCCCAAUCGGUUAUUCUCAGCCGAUAAAAAUCUGAUGCAGAGGUUUGCAUUUGUAGCGGGUUAAUUGCAAUUGCAAAUAUACCUUGUAUUUGGUACUGCACUCUUUCUGCCAGAUACCAAACCCCUAUUUGUGAUUCCGGACUGUAAAAAACAACUCUACGCAUAGAAUAAUCAAGAAUACUUACUCCAA